This 465-nucleotide ribosomal RNA is filed under the name uncultured bacterium. RNAcentral describes it as "partial 16S ribosomal RNA". It matches the Rfam family "Bacterial small subunit ribosomal RNA", at positions 338 to 795 of the family's 1533-position model. The record is from RNAcentral.
CCUACGGGAGGCAGCAGUGGGGAAUAUUGCGCAAUGGGCGAAAGCCUGACGCAGCGACGCCGCGUGAGGGAUGAAGGUCUUCGGAUCGUAAACCUCUGUCAGCAGGGAAGAACGGUCACUGUGCUAAUCAGCAGUGAAUUGACGGUACCUGCAAAGGAAGCACCGGCUAACUCCGUGCCAGCAGCCGCGGUAAUACGGAGGGUGCGAGCGUUAAUCGGAGUUACUGGGCGUAAAGCGCUCGUAGGCGGUACGUCAAGUCAAGGGUGAAAUCCCCGGGCUCAACGUGGGAACUGCCUUUGAAACUGGCAAACUGGAGUGUGUGAGAGGAUAGUGGAAUGCCAGGUGUAGGAGUGAAAUGCGUAGAUAUCUGGAGGAACAUCAGUGGCGAAGGCGACUAUCUGGCACAUAACUGACGCUGAGGAGCGAAAGCGUGGGUAGCAAACAGGAUUAGAUACCCCUGUAGUC